AACCUAGCACACCUGCGGUGUGUACCUGCGGAAGGAUCAUUACACAACAAAAUAUGAAGGUCUGGCUUCGCGGCCGGCUGAAGUAUUUUUUUUCACCCAUGUCUUUUGCGCACUUGUUGUUUCCUGGGCGGGUUCGCCCGCCACCAGGACCAAACCAUAAACCUCUUUUUUAUGUAGUUGCAAUCAGCGUCAGUAAAAACAAUGUAAUUAUUACAACUUUUAACAAUGGAUCUCAGAUCG
Molecule: unclassified non-coding RNA, 240 nt
Filed under: soil metagenome
Description: partial contains 5.8S ribosomal RNA, internal transcribed spacer 2, and large subunit ribosomal RNA
Source: RNAcentral